CCUACGGGUGGCAGCAGUGAGGAAUAUUGGUCAAUGGACGAGAGUCUGAACCAGCCAAGUAGCGUGAAGGAUGACUCCACAAUGGGUUGUAAACUUCUUUUAUAAAGGAAUAAAACGAGGCACGUGUGCCUGUUUGCAUGUACUUUAUGAAUAAGGAUCGGCUAACUCCGUGCCAGCAGCCGCGGUAAUACGGAGGAUCCGAGCGUUAUCCGGAUUUAUUGGGUUUAAAGGGAGCGUAGAUGGGUUGUUAAGUCAGUUGUGAAAGUUUGCGGCUCAACCGUAAAAUUGCAAUUGAUACUGGCAGUCUUGAGUACAGUUGAGGUAGGCGGAAUGCGUGGUGUAGCGGUGAAAUGCUUAGAUAUCACGAAGAACCCCGAUUGCGAAGGCAGCUUACUAAACUGUGACUGACAUUGAUGCUCGAAAGUGUGGGUAUCAAACAGGAUUAGAUACCCCUGUAGUC
This 460-nucleotide ribosomal RNA is filed under the name uncultured bacterium. RNAcentral describes it as "partial 16S ribosomal RNA". It matches the Rfam family "Bacterial small subunit ribosomal RNA", at positions 338 to 795 of the family's 1533-position model. The record is from RNAcentral.